Molecule: long non-coding RNA, 858 nt
Organism: Boleophthalmus pectinirostris (great blue-spotted mudskipper)
Lineage: Eukaryota; Metazoa; Chordata; Actinopteri; Gobiiformes; Gobiidae
Exons: 4
Source: RefSeq, a predicted model, not a curated record
GAGGCUGCUCUGACGGGAACAACAGAGGGACAAAAAGGGCUGCGCCUCACCUGUUGCUUUUGCGGUUGUAAAAGCAGCAAAUAUUUAACCAGACGUUGUGUAUUUAAGAACACUAAAGGGAUGUUGUCGGGGUGUGAGUCAGGCUAAAGAACAAGUCCCAUAAAAGAGCAGUGCCUCCAGCGCCCCCCCCGUGUGCUGCUGCAGCCAGGCCACAGACACACAGCCGGGGCAGGACUGUGGCUGUACUGACCACAAUGUCGUGAGGAGAGCUACCACCAAACCCUCAUUCAAAAACGCCUCCCAAGACUCAAGGCAAAAUGCACAUACCAGACUGUGGUGGUCAUAAUAAAUCAUUCACACACAUCGAUUUUGGAAGGUUCUUCUAUUACCAUGGAAGGUUCCCUAUGAUGACCUUGAACAUGUUUCCACGGUGAUAGCAGGUGAUGACUUCAGACAGGUCAGAUCUGUGGAGAGGCAAAUCAAGAUCUUCAUGGAGACAAGCAAAUGGCAUGCCCCCUCUGGAACACAAUUAACUUGCUUUUUACAGAUGUGCAUGGCUAACUAUUAAAAACAAUGGUAAAGAAUGUUCAAAACUGUAUAAUCAAAAAACUAAGACCCAGGAAUAUUAAAAACUUAUAUCACAUACAUAAGGCAAUUGUGAAUUUUUUAGCAAAAGAUAUCUCUCAUAUUAGUUCAAUUAAAGAUUUUUAGAUGUAACUUUUUUAUUACUAUACACUAUAUGGCCUAUGAUUUUCAUUCGUUCCUACAUGUGAGAAGUUUAAAACUCAACAGACAAAACUGUAAAAACUCACACCUGUAGCACAAUGGUCAGGAGACCACUAGGGGUCAAAAACACCU